This 532-nucleotide ribosomal RNA is filed under the name uncultured bacterium. RNAcentral describes it as "bacterial SSU rRNA". It matches the Rfam family "Archaeal small subunit ribosomal RNA", at positions 723 to 1261 of the family's 1478-position model. The record is from RNAcentral.
ACUGAAUAGAUACCCGGGUAGUCCCAGCUGUAAACGAUGCAGGCUAGGUGUUUGGACGGCCACGUGCCGUUCUAGUGCCGCAGGGAAGCUGUUAAGCCUGCCGCCUGGGGAGUACGAUCGCAAGAUUGAAACUUAAAGGAAUUGGCGGGGGAGCACCACAAGGGGUGAAGCUUGCGGUUUAAUUGGAGUCAACGCCGGAAAUCUCACCGGGAGCGACAGCAGUAUGAAAGCCAGAUUAAAGGUCUUGCUAGACGAGCUGAGAGGAGGUGCAUGGCCGUCGCCAGUUCGUGCCGUGAGGUGUCCUGUUAAGUCAGGCAACGAUCGAGACCCGCGUCCUCUGUUGCAACCAGUUUUGUGCUGGGCACACUGAGGAGACCGCCACUGAUAAAGUGGAGGAAGGAGCGGGCCACGGCAGGUCAGUAUGCCCCGGAAUCUCCCGGGCCACACGCGAGCUGCAAUGGCAGGUACAAUGGUUCCGACCUCGAAAGGGGUAAGGCAAUCUCGAAAGCCUGCCGUAGUUGGAAUCGAAGGC